RNAcentral lists this long non-coding RNA (201 nucleotides) under Hordeum vulgare. Its description in RNAcentral is "long non-coding RNA (HVUL_LNC005097)". Lineage: Eukaryota; Viridiplantae; Streptophyta; Magnoliopsida; Poales; Poaceae. The record is from RNAcentral.
UUGCUCAAAUGGUAGUAACUUCGAAUCUCGGUGGAACCGAUAUACACAACUCAGUGGCACCGAAAAGGUGGCUAACUGUCACAUGACACAACUCGGUGACACCGAUACUCAAACUCGUAAAUUCCGGUUUUGUGUACCGAGGCAACAGAAAGUUGGUCACAUGAACUCAGUAGCACUGAUGCAGUUUCGGUUGCACCAAAG